Molecule: long non-coding RNA, 659 nt
Organism: Lemur catta (Ring-tailed lemur)
Lineage: Eukaryota; Metazoa; Chordata; Mammalia; Primates; Lemuridae
Exons: 3
Source: RefSeq, a predicted model, not a curated record
CCUUAAAGAGGGUGAUUUUUAAGUUAAAAGAGCCUCCAAAAAAUUGGCACUUGGGACAUAUUUAGAGGUUUCCUUCCUUCUUACCUCUACUUCCAUCUCUGCUCCUAAACAAUUGUUUUUUCUUCGUAACUAGUUUUAUAAAAAAAAUUGCUCUAAAUAUUGACAUUUGUUUUUUUCUUUUGUUAAAAAAAACUCCUUUAUGAUACCAGCUCCUGGAACGGGACACAGCUGCCUAACGAAACUGAUUUAUUCACAGAACUAAAAAAAGAUUGACUAAGGAAGGAGAGAAUUAGAGAUACUGGUUGUUUUACCAAGGGUUUGACUGGAAUGGGAUAUUUUCAAAUGUAGUCCAGACUGCUUUGAGGAAUCAGGUUGACUUUAUAAGGCCAAUAAAAGCCCUCUGGAAAAAAAAUACUGACCUGAUACCUCAUCUAUAACAUUUCCAGAUCUGUGAGUCAUACUAUCCUGAAGACUAGAGAUGAUUCAAUGAAGCCUACAAAUCUUCCUUAUCAAAAAUCUCACUGGGACCGGUUGGUUUUCCACUGUCAAUGCUGCAUUACUAUACAGGAACCUCCCUCCCUCUCCGUCCAGGAACUGUGGCGGAAGAGGGAUGCAUGUGAGAUUGUAAGGGCCAAUUUAAGGGACAGAAUGUGCUUUAA